This 1450-nucleotide ribosomal RNA is filed under the name uncultured organism. RNAcentral's name for it is "16S ribosomal RNA". It matches the Rfam family "Bacterial small subunit ribosomal RNA". The record is from RNAcentral.
CGCUAGCUACAGGCUUAACACAUGCAAGUCGAGGGGCAUCAGGAAGAAAGCUUGCUUUCUUUGCUGGCGACCGGCGCACGGGUGAGUAACACGUAUCCAACCUGCCCUUUACUCGGGGAUAGCCUUUCGAAAGAAAGAUUAAUACCCGAUAGCAUAAUGAUUCCGCAUGGUUUCAUUAUUAAAGGAUUCCGGUAAAGGAUGGGGAUGCGUUCCAUUAGGUUGUUGGUGAGGUAACGGCCCACCAAGCCUUCGAUGGAUAGGGGUUCUGAGAGGAAGGUCCCCCACAUUGGAACUGAGACACGGUCCAAACUCCUACGGGAGGCAGCAGUGAGGAAUAUUGGUCAAUGGGCGCUAGCCUGAACCAGCCAAGUAGCGUGAAGGAUGAAGGCUCUAUGGGUCGUAAACUUCUUUUAUAUAAGAAUAAAGUGCAGUAUGUAUACUGUUUUGUAUGUAUUAUAUGAAUAAGGAUCGGCUAACUCCGUGCCAGCAGCCGCGGUAAUACGGAGGAUCCGAGCGUUAUCCGGAUUUAUUGGGUUUAAAGGGAGCGUAGGUGGACUGGUAAGUCAGUUGUGAAAGUUUGCGGCUCAACCGUAAAAUUGCAGUUGAUACUGUCAGUCUUGAGUACAGUAGAGGUGGGCGGAAUUCGUGGUGUAGCGGUGAAAUGCUUAGAUAUCACGAAGAACUCCGAUUGCGAAGGCAGCUCACUGGACUGCAACUGACACUGAUGCUCGAAAGUGUGGGUAUCAAACAGGAUUAGAUACCCUGGUGGUCCACACAGUAAACGAUGAAUACUCGCUGUUUGCGAUAUGCAGUAAGCGGCCAAGCGAAAGCAUUAAGUAUUCCACCUGGGGAGUACGCCGGCAACGGUGAAACUCAAAGGAAUUGACGGGGGCCCGCACAAGCGGAGGAACAUGUGGUUUAAUUCGAUGAUACGCGAGGAACCUUACCCGGGCUUAAAUUGCAGUGGAAUGAUGUGGAAACAUGUCAGUGAGCAAUCACCGCUGUGAAGGUGCUGCAUGGUUGUCGUCAGCUCGUGCCGUGAGGUGUCGGCUUAAGUGCCAUAACGAGCGCAACCCUUAUCUUUAGUUACUAACAGGUUAUGCUGAGGACUCUAGAGAGACUGCCGUCGUAAGAUGUGAGGAAGGUGGGGAUGACGUCAAAUCAGCACGGCCCUUACGUCCGGGGCUACACACGUGUUACAAUGGGGGGUACAGAAGGCAGCUAGCGGGUGACCGUAUGCUAAUCCCAAAAUCCUCUCUCAGUUCGGAUCGAAGUCUGCAACCCGACUUCGUGAAGCUGGAUUCGCUAGUAAUCGCGCAUCAGCCACGGCGCGGUGAAUACGUUCCCGGGCCUUGUACACACCGCCCGUCAAGCCAUGGGAGCCGGGGGUACCCGAAGUACGUAACCGCAAGGAUCGUCCUAGGGUAAAACUGGUGACUGGGGCUAAGUC